This 359-nucleotide unclassified non-coding RNA is filed under the name Anneissia japonica. RNAcentral's name for it is "tropomodulin-2-like, transcript variant X3". Lineage: Eukaryota; Metazoa; Echinodermata; Crinoidea; Comatulida; Comatulidae. The record is from RNAcentral.
UUUAAGCCGAUUUUUAAGGCCUGUUUAUACUUUCAACGAUAACUAUAUAACGAUAAAAAGGUAAAAGGCAAUUGUUCAUAGAAAAUAACCGAAAUAAGGGAAUCUCUAAAAGGUUUUGUUCCAAAGACGUUGAAUAUGGAACCAGAAAAUAAUCUUGAUGUUGAUAAAGCAUUAAAACAAGUACAAGAAAAUGACCCUCAACUAACCAGUCUCAACAUGAAUAACAUUAAGAACAUACCUAUACCUACACUAAUAUCAUUGUCAGAAGCUCUACAUAAGAACACACACCUAAAGACGCUGAGUAUGGCAAGCACACGUCUCAAUGACAGAAUUGCAAAAGUAAGUUACUAUACUACUGU